GACGAACGCUGGCGGCGUGCUUAACACAUGCAAGUCGAACGGAAAGGCCUGCUUUCCCUUGUGGAUUGCGGGUGCUCGAGUGGCGAACGGGUGAGUAACACGUGAGUGAUCUGCCCCCAACUUGGGUAUAAGCCUGGGAAACUGGGUCUAAUUCCCGAUAGGACUGCAGGGUGGUGCCUGUGGUGGAAAACGAUUUUCUAGUGGUUGGGGAUGAGCUCGCGGCCUAUCAGCUUGUUGGUGGGGUAAUGGCCUACCAAGGCGGCGACGGGUAGCCGGCCUGAGAGGGUGGACGGCCACAUUGGGACUGAGAUACGGCCCAGACUCCUACGGGAGGCAGCAGUGGGGAAUAGUGCACAAUGGGCGGAAGCCUGAUGCAGCGACGCCGCGUGGGGGAUGACGGCCUUCGGGUUGUAAACUCCUUUCGACCGCGAGGAAGCCGCCUGGUUGGAAGGGUGGUGACGGUAGUGGUAGAAGAAGCACCGGCUAACUACGUG
This 494-nucleotide ribosomal RNA is filed under the name uncultured bacterium. RNAcentral describes it as "partial 16S ribosomal RNA". It matches the Rfam family "Bacterial small subunit ribosomal RNA", at positions 28 to 507 of the family's 1533-position model. The record is from RNAcentral.